RNAcentral lists this ribosomal RNA (371 nucleotides) under uncultured bacterium. Its description in RNAcentral is "bacterial SSU rRNA". It matches the Rfam family "Bacterial small subunit ribosomal RNA", at positions 527 to 896 of the family's 1533-position model. The record is from RNAcentral.
GUAGGGUGCGAGCGUUAAUCGGAAUUACUGGGCGUAAAGCGUGCGCAGGCGGUUUUGUAAGCCAGAUGUGAAAGCCCCGGGCUUAACCUGGGAAUGGCAUUUGGGACUGCAAGGCUGGAGUUUGGCAGAGGAGACUGGAAUUCCUGGUGUAGCAGUGAAAUGCGUAGAUAUCAGGAGGAAUACCGAUGGCGAAGGCAGGUCUCUGGGCUAUAACUGACGCUCAUGCACGAAAGCGUGGGGAGCAAACAGGAUUAGAUACCCUGGUAGUCCACGCCCUAAACGAUGAUGACUAGUUGUUGGAGGAGUUAAAUCCUUUAGUAACGCAGCUAACGCGAGAAGUCAUCCGCCUGGGGAGUACGGUCGCAAGAUUA